AUGGGGAACCCUGGUGCAUUUCAUCAUUCUAUUACCCUACAAUCCUUCACUGUCUUCUUCCUUCUUGCUGUUUUUGUAGCAGAUUAUCAUGUCCAGGGAGGAGAUGAUGGAUGCUCACUGUUCUCCUGUGGAUAUCUCCGAGACAUAUCAUAUCCUUUCCGUCGGCGAGGUGAUCCUCAUGAGUGCGGUGUUGAAGAAUACGAGCUGGGUUGCACCAGUAGCAAGGCUACGAUUCACAUCAACACGGGAACAUACUAUGUGACUGCCAUCAACUACACUGGUUCCUACUUCUGGGUCAUGGAUACCAACUUCAAUACCAGUAGCAGUUGCCCUCUUCCACUGUGGAAUCACCUUCCUUACAGUGGAUCUGGCACAACUGAUUCAGGAGAGCACGGCACAACUGAUUCAGCCUCACCUGUCUUUCAGUAUUUGGCCACUCAAAGCGACUACAUAGCAUGUUUUGCUAAUUGUUCACGAGCAGUAACAAAUAGUAGUGCAUACAAGCCCGUUGCUUGCCUGAGUGCCAAAAAUUCACAUGUUUAUGUCUGGGUGUCUCCUUACAGUUGUGCGGUUGAAGAUCUUGGACCUUACUGUGGAUACCUCGGAGAGAUUCCAUUUGGUGACAAGUAUCCUUCUGAUUGGCGACAGCUACAUAAUGCAAGUUAUGCAGAUAUCACACAAUUCAUAAGUAAGGGGUUUACUGUCCAAUUUCCUGUGGACACCAUGGGGCCUUCUACUUCUGUGAUGUUAAGAAAGGACAUCAAUUUAUGCCUCAACAAUUCAAUCAGCUACUUCAAGGAGCAAAUAUCUGGCACAAGCAUUGUUAAUUGGACUCAUGCUAUUUUCUGGAGUGAGGUGCACUUCUUAGAAUGCAUGAUCACUGGGAGCUCUAACGAUGAUUACUACCCCACAACUCGGAGCUCUAACUAUGAUUACUACGCCACAAUAAAGUUGUGUUUGAUUACUGCAACCUUAGUAUCUGCUAUUGCUAUCCCCCAGUUCUUUUUUGUACUGUGCAGGUUCUUGUUGGCACCCCUGGCUGUAUGGAUAUUCCUAGCCUACAAGUACAUGAAAACAAGGAUCAUAAUUGAUGCAGUUGAGAAGUUCCUCAGGAUUCAACAAAUGAUUGGCCCGGCGAGGUACUCCUACACAGAUAUAGUUGCAGUCACAAGCCAUUUCAGAGAUAAAUUGGGCCAAGGGGGCUACGGCUCUGUGUACAAGGGUGUGCUUCUUCCAGGCGGUGUCCAUGUCGCCGUGAAGAUGCUAGAGGGCAACUCAAACUGCAAUGGAGAAGAUUUCAUCAGCGAGGUCUCCACCAUCGGCAGGAUCCACCAUGUCAACGUUGUGCGUUUGGUGGGGUUCUGCUCGGAGGAAAUGCGAAGGGCCUUAGUCUACGAGUACAUGCCCAAUGGUUCUCUGGACAAGUACAUCUUCUCUACCGAGAAGAGCUUCUCAUGGGACAAGCUCAACGAGAUCGCUCUAGGCAUUGCCAGGGGGAUCAACUACCUACACCAGGGGUGCGACAUGCAGAUUCUACACUUUGAUAUCAAGCCGCACAACAUCCUUCUCGACAGCAAUUUCGUCCCGAAGGUCGCCGAUUUCGGACUCGCCAAACUGUACCCAAGGGGCGACAGUUUCGUGCCUUUGAGCGCCAUGCGGGGAACCGUCGGCUACGUAGCUCCUGAGAUGAUAUCCCGGAGCUUCGGCGUCAUAUCCAGCAAGUCCAAUGUGUACAGCUUCGGGAUGUUGCUGCUGGAGAUGGCCGGCGGGAGAAGGAACGCUGAUCCAAACAUGGGGUCCUCAAGCCAGGCGUACUACCCGUCAUGGGUGUACGACCAGCUGACUCAGGAAGAAGCGGGCGAGAUAUCUCCAGUUGCUGCCGACAUGCACGAGCUAGAGAAGAAGUUGUGUGUUGUCGGACUAUGGUGUAUUCAGAUGAGGUCUCGUGAUUGGCCAACUAUGGGCGAGGUCAUAGAGAUUCUGGAGGCCGGGGCUGAUGGCCUGCAGAUGCCUUCAAGGCCAUUUUUCUGCGACGAAGGGCACAUCCAUGUGGAGGACUCUUACCAGUUCACUUCCGAGCUGACGGCAGUCUCGGAGGAGGAAUUUAGUGCGGUGUCAGAGGAAGAUGAUGUGUGA
This 2136-nucleotide ribosomal RNA is filed under the name Triticum aestivum (bread wheat). RNAcentral describes it as "partial small subunit ribosomal RNA". Lineage: Eukaryota; Viridiplantae; Streptophyta; Magnoliopsida; Poales; Poaceae. The record is from RNAcentral.